UCUGACUAGUCAUAAUUCUGAUGAAAUAACCUAAAUAUAUCUUUAGAUAUAUAAGAUCUGACUCGUGCAAAGUAACGUAAAGCAAAUAACGAUUCAGCAAAAGUCGUUAUAAUUAUUAUUAUUUUUUAAAAUCCCUUCCUGGUUUCACUGGUUUAUUUCCAGUUGGUUCCAGUCACUUUAAGAAGAAAUUAUUUAUUCUGAUUUUAAGUCAUUCCUACAUUUAAAACUGAAUUAUCAGGAUCCGGAAACAUCUUCUUGUCUCUAAUGUAUUAAUUAAUUCCUGCAGCUGUGGAUCCACAGCGCCCUCUAGUGGUCACUCUGCAGUCUGCUGACUGGUCGCACAGCGCCCUCUAGUGGUCACUCUGCAGUCUGCUGACUGGUCGCACAGCGCCCUCUGUCGGCUGCUCUGUCUUCUCGCUGCAUCAGGCUGCAGUAACCCUUUCCCCCCUCAAGAUGGCGCCUCCUUCCCGCUCAGUCAGGAGGACCUUGACGCAGCCGCAGAGUGAACGCCCUCCUUUUGACGCAUGCGCGGUGACUGAAACGUCCUGCUGCUUCCUGGUCAGGAGUUUGGACCGUCAGAACCAGCGGGGCAGUUUUAUCAUCCCUCAUUAAACUGACCGGAGCUGCAGGUUCGUGUUUACAGCCGAACCUUUGGACCCGUCCGGAACCGCGCCCACCGGGAGCAGAAAUCAGCUGCAGCGAGCCGAACAUCAGAUGAUGCUGAGUAACAGAAGCUAAGAACACACUCACACACAGACACACACACACA
Molecule: non-coding RNA, 769 nt
Organism: Poecilia reticulata (guppy)
Lineage: Eukaryota; Metazoa; Chordata; Actinopteri; Cyprinodontiformes; Poeciliidae
Source: RefSeq, a predicted model, not a curated record